UCGAAUUAUGCCACUUUUUAUAGUUCCCCCUUUCUUUUCUUUUUUUUUUCCUUUUUUUUUUCCCCAUCCAAAAAAGGAAAAAAAAAAAAAGAAAAGAAAGGGGGAACUAUAAAAAGUGGCAUAAUUCGA
Molecule: non-coding RNA, 129 nt
Organism: Pelobates cultripes (western spadefoot toad)
Lineage: Eukaryota; Metazoa; Chordata; Amphibia; Anura; Pelobatidae
Source: the annotation of a GenBank genome assembly